GCCCAGGUGGGGAAAUUGGUAGACCCAUCACCUUGAGGUGGUGACGCUCGCAAGGGCAUGCUGGUUCGAGUCCAGUCCUGGGCACCA
Molecule: transfer RNA, 87 nt
Filed under: Candidatus Wolfebacteria bacterium
Lineage: Bacteria; Candidatus Wolfeibacteriota
Description: tRNA-Leu
Rfam family: tRNA
About the family: Transfer RNA (tRNA) molecules are approximately 80 nucleotides in length. Their secondary structure includes four short double-helical elements and three loops (D, anti-codon, and T loops). Further hydrogen bonds mediate the characteristic L-shaped molecular structure. tRNAs have two regions of fundamental functional importance: the anti-codon, which is responsible for specific mRNA codon recognition, and the 3' end, to which the tRNAs corresponding amino acid is attached (by aminoacyl-tRNA synthetases). tRNAs cope with the degeneracy of the genetic code in two manners: having more than one tRNA (with a specific anti-codon) for a particular amino acid; and 'wobble' base-pairing, i.e. permitting non-standard base-pairing at the 3rd anti-codon position.
Source: RNAcentral